This 72-nucleotide transfer RNA is filed under the name Schizomeris leibleinii. RNAcentral describes it as "tRNA-His". It matches the Rfam family "tRNA". From Rfam's summary of the family: Transfer RNA (tRNA) molecules are approximately 80 nucleotides in length. Their secondary structure includes four short double-helical elements and three loops (D, anti-codon, and T loops). Further hydrogen bonds mediate the characteristic L-shaped molecular structure. tRNAs have two regions of fundamental functional importance: the anti-codon, which is responsible for specific mRNA codon recognition, and the 3' end, to which the tRNAs corresponding amino acid is attached (by aminoacyl-tRNA synthetases). tRNAs cope with the degeneracy of the genetic code in two manners: having more than one tRNA (with a specific anti-codon) for a particular amino acid; and 'wobble' base-pairing, i.e. permitting non-standard base-pairing at the 3rd anti-codon position. The record is from RNAcentral. Lineage: Eukaryota; Viridiplantae; Chlorophyta; Chlorophyceae; Chaetophorales; Schizomeridaceae.
GCGGGCGUAGCCAAGUGGUAAGGCAGUGGGUUGUGGCUCCACUAUUCGCGGGUUCGAACCCCGUCGUUCGCC